This is an RNA transcript of Magnolia sinica, 3926 nucleotides long. It is a transcript of the gene named WPP domain-associated protein-like, with no coding region annotated. Lineage: Eukaryota; Viridiplantae; Streptophyta; Magnoliopsida; Magnoliales; Magnoliaceae. The record is from RefSeq and is a predicted model, not a curated record. The transcript is spliced from 6 exons.
CGACGCCUCGAGUAGAAUUUCCCCAAACGGCAUCAUCUUCUCUCUCCGUCUUUCUCAUCAAAAACCCUAAAAAUCCGUGCAGAAACAGGCUUUUAGUCUGAGAGAGCGCUCCUUUUCCCGGCAAAGACAGAGAUAGAGAAGAAAAGAAAUUGGCGGGAAGGAUCCAACGGUCGCAACUGCCGUCGCGGGAAAUUCAAAGAUCUCAACGGCCAUUUCGUAACGACCUCUUCCUAAGACGAAGCAGAGAACGCCAACUUCGAAGAUGAAUCUGUAUCUUUGUAGAUUCGAAUUGAAUGGAAGCUGCCUCGAUCCAUUUAAAUAAUUUCAGCUCAGUUUAGUUAGGUGGGCUGUUCUUUUUUUAGUUGGUGGGAUUUUUCCGACUUGCUUGGUCUUUAUACCAAUGGAGAAUUCAGAGGUUACUGAUGUGGGGGUGAGUUCAUCCAGCGACUGGUCAAUGCAACCGUCUGGUAGUUUUAAGAGCAGCGAGAAUUUUGGUAGUGAUUCAGCCUUCUAUGAGAAGUUCCUCCUUGAAGACUUGGAUUCAUAUAUGGAAGAUAUUAACGUACGUCUGACCAUCUCGAGGAUGGUGAGCGAUUCCAUCAUCAAGGGUAUGGUGACUGCGGUCUCAGAGGAGGCUGCUGAGAAGAUCGCUUCAAAAGAAGCAGAGGUGGCAUUCUUGAAUGAAAGAUUGCAAUUUUACGAGUCAGACGCAGAUAAAGAUAAAGAACUUGGGUUGUCCACAGUGGCCAAUGAAGCCAAACAAUUGAAAUUUGAGGUGCCAUCGAAUUGUUUGGAUUCACGUGAUGCCAAACCAUAUCCCAUCAAGGAGCAUUUGGGUUAUCUGAAGAAAGAGUCGGAAGAGCAGUUUCAUAGGCUUGCAAAAGAAAUCGGGGAGAUGAAGGGCUGUAGCUCAAUUAGCAGAAUGAAUUCAGGUGGUAAACAUGAGGGGAAUAUAUCAGAUAAAUGGGUCGAAAUUGACCGAAGUCUCAGUACGUUGAAAAACAUAUUAAGAUCAGUCUAUGAACAGAUUGACAAUGUGGUUUUCUUUCCAAAGGCUUCGCUUGAUGAACGGCAGUGGGAGCUGGAUUUUCAAGAAGAAAUUGAAGGUAUCGUGUUUCAGAGUUAUAUUAGGAGCCUUCUGGAGGAUUUUAAAGAGAAGCCAUGUGAGCAAAGAAACCAUUUACCCGGUAGCCAAAAUAAGAAAUGGAUGAUGAAGGUUGAUGAACUUACGAGCUUGCGCGAAGAACUAGAUAUCAUUUCUAGGUCGUUGUCUGUUCCUGAAUCCGGGAAGCUGCUGUCUCAUGGGUCCCAUGAAAUUAUCGAUGAAUGGACUAGUAAUGAAAGGAAAGAUCGGAUUCAUCGGAAGGUUUUGGGGGCUCAUAUUUCGCCAUCCAUUUCUGUUCGAGAGGAAAAUGGUAGUGCCGUGUCCAAGAAAUCUAAGGAAUUCAACAACGCUGCACCCGAGAUAGCGGAAUCGGCCCAACUGAAGCACAUGUCCAAGGAAGAGCUGAUAAGCUAUUUCAACACAGAAAUUACUAAAAUGAAGAGAAACCAUGAGACAGCCGUGCAGGAGAUAACCGAAGAGUACUUCAGCUUCCGGAGGGAAUUCCUCAAAGAAAAAGGUUCUUCCCAUCCAAGGAAAGACAAGGAGUUUGAUGCCUUGAGGAAGAAAAUCCCAGAAGUCAUUCUAAAACUGGACAGUAUCCUUGUAGAGAAUGAGAAAUUUCCUGCAGUUUGCGAUGAUCACCAAAGCAUAUGUAGCUUGAAUGAUAGUCUGGUCCGCGAAAAUCAACGUCUGCGAGACAUGCUCAUGGACAAAAAGAAGGAGAUUAAGUGUCUCCAUUUGCAGGUCUCUGAUGCAGCUGAUAAGAUGUCAAAUCAUUCACUGGCAGAGACUAACUUCUUAAAAAGGAUAAAAAAGCUUAAAUGCGAUAUGGAAGAUCUGAAGAUAGAUGCUUUCAUUCAGCAAGAGAUAUAUAAGACCGUCCUUAGGGAGUUAACCAAAAAGACAAAACGUGAAAUGGAUGAUGCAGACAUUGAGGCUAUCUUCAUGCAUGAGAUAUCUGCAAUCAUCUUCCAAGAAGCUUUCAAGGAUGCCGAUGCUGCCUUCAAUCUCACGAUGAUGCAAUACAAUGAGGAAAAGCAACGGGUUGUUCACCUUGAAGCAAUACUAUUCGAAAAAGUGAAGACAUUGGAUUCAGAAACCGAGGAAAAGGAAAAGUUGAAGCAAGAGAUAGUGUCGUUGAUGGCAUUGAUGGAGGAGAAGGAGAAGUUGUCAUCAGAAGUGGGGACCGCAUUGAUGAAACAAAAGGAGAAUUUUGAGUUGGUUUGCCAAGAACUUAGCACAUUGAGGGACCGAGCAAGUCGGCAAGAGAUACUAAUUUCCGAGAAUAACAAGGAAUUGGAUUCGAUAAAGGGUAUAUUGAAGGAGGCUUUGGAGCGAAAUCAGCUAUACGAAGUACAAGUAGGUGAGCUAAAUCAGAAAUUAAAAGUAGCUGUAGACAAGUGGAGAGAAUCAGAGAGACAGAAAAGUAUACUUAAUGCCGUUAUUCAAGAGAAGCAAAGUACAGUAUUAUCAGCCAUAGAAAACGAACAGGCGCAAAGGAAGCAGAUGGAGUCUGUUGUCGUUUCAGUUCAAGAAUUAUCAAAAUUUAUGUUUAAUUUCGAAUGCAGAGUAGCAGAGAAUGUCGUGCGAAAUAGUGCGAGAUUAGAAAUGUUAAAUAACCAAUGCAGUCCACUUGUUCAACUGGCUAAUUUACUCAAGAGAAAGGAGUUGGUGUACAAGCUAGCACUUGAAAGAAGAUGUUCCGAUCUUCAAAAGGCCGAAGCGGAGGUCGAUCUGUUAGGCGAUGAGGUGGAUGCGCUUCUAAGCCUUCUUGAGAAGAUAUACAUAGCGCUCGACCAUUACUCGCCAAUAUUUCAGAAUUAUACUGGAGUUAUGGAGAUCAUGGAAUUGGUCAGACGCGAAUUAAAGGGCGAAAGGCAUAAACCAAUUUGAUUUAUGUAACUAAAGCUUCUCUUGAUUAUGUGCGUGUGAGAUGAUGCUGUUCUUCAGGUAGGCCCCGUCAUUUAUGUUCCAAGGCCUGAAAAUGAAGCCAAUCCGCUCGUCAGCCAGGCGGACACGUUGGAGAAUUACAUUGCUAGAAGCGAUUGACCAGUAGUCCACAUCUAACAUGCAUGCUUAGCCGCCUGACGAUCGGACUGACCUGAUUUUCUGGCCACCAGGUCCACACAUAUAAGCUGUGGCUGUUUUGUCCCCAUCUGGAGCAGUUUUUGCGAUGUGAGUACCCUCAGUGAUGCAAUGGAGAAGAACGAGCGCUUUCGAUGGGUAAGCGAAAGAUGGGAAAUGACAUGGUAGAGACAUCUCUGUCCUGUUAUGAUAAAUCAGGGCCAUCCAUCAGGUGGGCCCCAUAAAGGAUGAUCAUUGGUCCAAAUUCAUGCACUCUUAGUAGUCCUAGAAGACAGUCGACGGUUGAUGUUCUGGCGGAAAAAAAGUACAGGAAGUGUUAGCUCGGAUUAUUCCGGUUGGUGGGGUUCAUCAGCCAUGAGCCAUCCUUGCUAUGGCCCACUAGGUGAAUGUUCCCUGUCCACCAUCCCCUCCAUCCACAUCUUUAUCACAUCAUUUCCCAUUCAAGGAAUACUUUAGCAAAUUUUCAAUCCUUUGGAUUCCAAUUGAGAAAUAGAUUAAGUAGAAAUGGCAAAUGCCAAACGGUCACCAUCGAUCAUUGCUGGGCCGGCAUGACCGUUAUAGUACAGGCAUUGGAUUUAUUCCUUUGUAUUUUUGUUUCCUUUCCAUAUAUUUGUUGAUGCAAUUUUGAAUUUUAAAUUAUGUUCAUUGCAUGUAUGUAAAUUGGACAGAUUUUGCAGAAUGCACACAUCAUUAUUUUAAAUUAUGAAAAUGUAUAUUUCUAUGGUUUUAAAUAGCA